AUUAAGCCAUGCAUGUCUCAGUACAAGCCGAAUUAAGGUGAAACCGCGAAAGGCUCAUUAAAUCAGUUAUGGUUCCUUAGAUCGUACCCACAUUUACUUGGAUAACUGUGGUAAUUCUAGAGCUAAUACAUGCAAACAGAGCUCCGACCGGAAACGAUAGGAGCGCUUUUAUUAGAUCAAAACUAAUCGGCGGCGGGUUCGCCCGUUCGUCGUACACCUUGGUGAAUCUGAAUAACUUUCUGCUGAUCGCAUGGUCUCGCACCGGCGACGCAUCUUUCAAAUGUCUGCCUUAUCAACUGUCGAUGGUAGGUUCUGCGCCUACCAUGGUUGUAACGGGUAACGGGGAAUCAGGGUUCGAUUCCGGAGAGGGAGCCUGAGAAACGGCUACCACAUCCAAGGAAGGCAGCAGGCGCGCAAAUUACCCACUCCCGGCACGGGGAGGUAGUGACGAAAAAUAACGAUACGGGACUCAUCCGAGGCCCCGUAAUCGGAAUGAGUACACUCUAAACCCUUUAACGAGGAUCAAUUGGAGGGCAAGUCUGGUGCCAGCAGCCGCGGUAAUUCCAGCUCCAAUAGCGUAUAUUAAAGUUGU
RNAcentral lists this ribosomal RNA (592 nucleotides) under Stenelmis puberula. RNAcentral describes it as "SSU rRNA". It matches the Rfam family "Eukaryotic small subunit ribosomal RNA", at positions 43 to 613 of the family's 1831-position model. Lineage: Eukaryota; Metazoa; Arthropoda; Insecta; Coleoptera; Elmidae. The record is from RNAcentral.